This 940-nucleotide long non-coding RNA is filed under the name Pan paniscus (pygmy chimpanzee). RNAcentral's name for it is "lncRNA (ENSPPAG00000045077.1)". The record is from RNAcentral. Lineage: Eukaryota; Metazoa; Chordata; Mammalia; Primates; Hominidae.
UUGUUAUCCCAUUUAUGCAAAUGACUCAGAAAUUUCCAACCUGGUACCCCCAAAAUAUUAAAUAUGCCAUUUUAGUCAUUUUUUAAAGUAAAGAGAAGGACAAACAUUCCUAAUUGUUCAUCACUAAAUUAAAAUUUUUCUUUCUAGAUGCCAGGACACCAGCAGGAUGAUACCUUUUUAAAAAAUAAGUAUUCAGUGUUUUGAAGCAUUUUGUUUUUGUAUUUAUUCUGAUUUAUUCUACAGUAGGUUUCUGGGGAAAUCUCAAACACUUUUUAUUGCAGGCCAUGAGAAAUGCUAUAUAGGUGUGGAUUUGGAUGGAUGUGAUGUUUGGAAGCAUCCUGGUUCAUUUUUCUUCCUUUGACCAUCCAUGCUGAUUGAGGCAAGAACAGUAUUGAGCUGAUCACUUUGAUUCGUGACAUCUGCUGUGUUUCUCCACCUGAGCCACCUUACCCCAGAUGUGAUCUUCCCCACAGAGAAAAUGCAAAGAGAUAUUGUUGCAACCACCAGUAUCAGUAAAUGCUUUUCACAAAACAGGAAGCUAAAAUAAGGGGGAAAUCUAUCUGCUAUCUUAACACCCUAAAGAGCUUGAAAUGGAUUUUUUGACAUUCAGUGUUUCACUCACUGAGUUCUCCCCACAUUAUUAAUGGUAUGGGAAUUAGGAGGAGGUCAUCUGACUCACAUGGAUCACCAUAUAAUUCCUUCUGGAGAACAGGUAAAUCUGUCUUUAGCAUCUUCACUGAAUAUGGAAUAGAAGGCAGGAUCAAGCAAAAGCUGGAAGUUGCUUAUAGCCUCUCUCAGAAGGACUUGUCAGCACAAACAAUGCAGAUUGCAAAAUGAGAAAAUCUGAAACAAAAGCACGUGCUCAAAUCUCCCAGGUAAAUAUGCUUCCUAAUGAAAUCUUUUUCUUUGCAGCCUCCUGUACCAAAAUAGUAAACUUUUC